UACGGAGGGUGCGAGCGUUAUCCGGAUUCACUGGGUUUAAAGGGUGCGUAGGUGGUUUUGUAAGUCAGUGGUGAAAUCCCGGAGCUCAACUCCGGAACUGCCAUUGAUACUGCUUAACUUGAAUCAACUUGAGGUGGAUGGAAUAUUACAUGUAGCGGUGAAAUGCUUAGAGAUGUAAUAGAACACCGAUUGCGAAGGCAGUUCACUAAGGUUGUAUUGACACUGAGGCACGAAAGCGUGGGGAUCAAACAGG
RNAcentral lists this ribosomal RNA (253 nucleotides) under uncultured bacterium. Its description in RNAcentral is "partial 16S ribosomal RNA". It matches the Rfam family "Bacterial small subunit ribosomal RNA", at positions 524 to 776 of the family's 1533-position model. The record is from RNAcentral.